Ribosomal RNA from Pyrus x bretschneideri (Chinese white pear), 119 nucleotides. Lineage: Eukaryota; Viridiplantae; Streptophyta; Magnoliopsida; Rosales; Rosaceae. The record is from RefSeq and is a predicted model, not a curated record.
GGAUGCGAUCAUACCGACUCCCUUGCACUAGAUCCCAUAAGAACUUCGAAGUUAAGCGAGUUUGGACGAGAGUAGUACUAGGAUGGGUGAUCUCUUGGGAAGUCCUCAUGUUGCAUCCC